This is a long non-coding RNA of Cygnus olor (mute swan), 1325 nucleotides long. RefSeq lists it as uncharacterized. The record is from RefSeq and is a predicted model, not a curated record. The transcript has 2 exons. Lineage: Eukaryota; Metazoa; Chordata; Aves; Anseriformes; Anatidae.
UGAAGUUGCCGAGUAACUUCUGGUGCCUGUGUACUGGUUUGGGCUUUUUCACAUGUACAUAACAUAGAGGGCUAAUGACCUUGAAAAAAUUGAGACAUCGCUAGAUCUAAAAAGGAUCUUAGCCUAAGUGGAAGAAGUCAGGGGUUAGAUAUGAUGACCAGCGAAAUAAAAGCCCUGUGAGGAGAUGGGAGUGGUCUCCAAGACUAAGCUUCUUCGAUAAAGAAGUUAUGCUUCUGAUGAGGACAGUGCUCAGGACUGUGUUUCCUGAGCUGAGCACGUUAGGCUGGAAGGCAGCCAGGAACUGGUCCCACAUCUGCUGCACCUCCAGAGGGGCAAAGCCCUCGUAGGGCAGUAGGCCGCACGCCCCAAGUACCCAGGGGCACACAGUUUCGUACGGGACAGUUUGGGGUGCUGUUUGCAGUUGAGAAAUUAUUCAUCUUUUUGUUGGGAAACAAACUAUUUUUCUGAAAAAUAGACCUACUCAAGAGCAUCUCCAGCUGAUUUCCACCAAACAAUAUAUUGCAGUAAUGUACUUUUCCAUCUCAUUUUGUGACUAUAUAAAGGCAAUAUCAAGAAAAAACAAACCAACCAGUCAGGUUGCAGUCAGGAAAUCAUCCUUUUUAGCCAUGCCACUAACGCUAGAGUAAACUGACUUUGUGUUUUUGAGGGUUUUAUGAACCAGUUUUAAAUACACUCAGAUCAUUAAGAAUUAGUUUAACUUAAACUCCUCUGGGAAAGAAACUAGUGUACAACAAUCUUACUUUAAAUACACAGGAAUUGCUAAAAGUUGCAUCGUACACUAUCACUAACCUGCAUUAGCUUUCAGCACCAAAGUAAAUUUAAGUUUCACUGAGGAGAUGAAGAUGCCAUUCAGAAACGGAUGUUCAAGUGUCAUGAAAAGCAACUGCCUUACUGAACAAAUGAACUUCUUUACAGCAUUAACAAAAGUACAGACAGGUUAAAUAACAGAUGCACUGUUCAAUGUUUUUAGAUGGUGUAAGUAACCAUGUCUACAAAUCAUGAAAUAUUGCCGUCUUUCUGGAAAUUGAUAUUAAUCUCCUCGGAACACGUGCCCCUACACUCAGGACGCACUGCAAGGUUGCCCACAAGAAAUUCGUACAUUGGAAAAAGAAGAAAAAGAAAGAACUGACAUACAUGACACGUUCAUAAGAAUAAUUGAGCUGGUGAAGCACAAGUCCCGGCUUUUUCCUGGGAGUAUUGCGUUUUACAGAAAAAAGAGAGAGGAAAAAAAAGUGUUUCCAUUUAGCAGUGAUCUAUAUUUGCUAGAUGUUUUCUAAUUUUGAAAAUGAUUCUAUUUAACAAUU